GUGCUCGUUUUUGGCAGCACAUAUAGUGAAAACUGGAACAAUGGAGAGAAGAUUAGCAUGACCCCUGCUCAAGGAUGAUGUGCAAAUUUGUGAUAUGUUCCAUAUUUUU
This is a small nuclear RNA of Balaenoptera musculus (blue whale), 109 nucleotides long. The record is from Ensembl. Lineage: Eukaryota; Metazoa; Chordata; Mammalia; Artiodactyla; Balaenopteridae.